RNAcentral lists this ribosomal RNA (254 nucleotides) under uncultured bacterium. RNAcentral describes it as "partial 16S ribosomal RNA". It matches the Rfam family "Bacterial small subunit ribosomal RNA", at positions 524 to 776 of the family's 1533-position model. The record is from RNAcentral.
UACGUAGGCAGCGAGCGUUGUUCGGAGUUACUGGGCGUAAAGAGUGCGUAGGCGGUGUUCCAAGUCUGUUGUGAAAUCUCCCGGCUCAACUGGGGAGGGUGCGCCGGAUACUGAGGGGCUAGAGUGUGGGAGAGGAAAGUGGAAUUCCUGGUGUAGCGGUGAAAUGCGCAGAUAUCAGGAGGAACACCGGUGGCGAAGGCGGAUCUCUGGGCCUUACCUGACGCUCAGGUGCGAAAGCUAGGGGAGCGAACAGG